AUAUAUAAGCUUAGUUUUUAAUAGUUACAGUUUUGAAACAGGAAUACAAAACAAAUCACAACAAACCCGGCUGAUGUUAAAGUUGGAUUAUGUAGUACAAAAAUAUGAUAUCCAGCUUAAUUAUACUGAAUCAACUCAUAACGCUGGGGGCAACAGCUCGUCUAGUGCACCUUUUACAUUUUUAACCCCACCCAGACUUUUUUUUUAAAAUCUCCAAAUACACAGAGGCACUUGCAUUACAGCUGGUUUGAAAAUGUCCAAAAUAUACUUGAUAACUGAAAAAUGGAAACAUUGUUGGACCCGUAAACUACAAAUAUUUAAAAAUACACAAUGAAUCCGAAACACCUGCAUUACUAGAAGUAUGAUGAGGGAAAAAAGGGUACAUAUUGAAUAACUAAGUGGAUAUGCAGGUUGGCUUGACGCAGUGCCACGAGUUUUUGUUUUGAGGGAAAUAGCCUGUCAAAAAUGCAUCUAACAUUUGGAAAAUAUUGAGAAAUGUAUGCAUGUUGUACAAGUUUGAUGUUUAUUUAAGAAAAAAAAAAACCCUGCCACCCAAAUUUUGGUCAUGCAGACAGAUUCACUGUGAACUGCAGAGGCUAAAAGGAGACAAUCAGCUGAAGCUUUAAAAUAUGAGCUUCAAAAUCUUGCGUGAUAAUCUUUGGAUGUUUUAUGGUCAACUGCGGCCAUAUUUGGACUAAGCUGUGGACGAUCAUCUCUUAAAACCACGACAGAUCACUUGAAACUGUGCCGAUGGAGGGACAGCUUGUGUCCAGAUAAAAAAAGGAAGAUUUUAGUGUGUUUUAAAGUGGCAGGCUGGUUGAUUCGAGUAGUGGUAAUGUACUGAAGCUCAAUGACAAAUAAACAUUUUGCCUAAAAGCAUAAGCAGAGAAUGUACUGCUGUUAAAAACACAAUCUUGCAUAAAAUGUCUAAAAUGCAUGCAUUUAAUCAUGUGCAUUCCUUUAAAUUCAAUAUAAGGAAAUAAUGGUUUAAAAAAAAAUCAUUUUAUCCCUUUAAGGGGUUCAUUUAUCUCCAUAGUGGAAAAAACUAAGUAGAGGAAGACUGCCACAGCCAGGAAGAACACAAACUGAACCCACAGUGGGAUCAGACGUGAUGACUUUGGUGCAUCUGGAACAUCUUGACCUGAUUUCAUGGGUGGCGAUUUAGCGUAGGUGCUUCUGUAAGUGGACGGAGUGUCAUACAUGUCGGGUCUGGAAAGGAAAUCGAGGGAAAUCAUGCAUCAGCA
Molecule: long non-coding RNA, 1244 nt
Organism: Oreochromis aureus
Lineage: Eukaryota; Metazoa; Chordata; Actinopteri; Cichliformes; Cichlidae
Source: Ensembl